CACUCUGGGACAAGCCCUGGAAACGGGGUCUAAUACCGGAUACUGACCCGCUUGGGCAUCCAAGCGGUUCGAAAGCUCCGGCGGUGCAGGAUGAGCCCGCGGCCUAUCAGCUUGUUGGUGAGGUAAUGGCUCACCAAGGCGACGACGGGUAGCCGGCCUGAGAGGGCGACCGGCCACACUGGGACUGAGACACGGCCCAGACUCCUACGGGAGGCAGCAGUGGGGAAUAUUGCACAAUGGGCGAAAGCCUGAUGCAGCGACGCCGCGUGAGGGAUGACGGCCUUCGGGUUGUAAACCUCUUUCAGCAGGGAAGAAGCGAAAGUGACGGUACCUGCAGAAGAAGCGCCGGCUAACUACGUGCCAGCAGCCGCGGUAAUACGUAGGGCGCGAGCGUUGUCCGGAAUUAUUGGGCGUAAAGAGCUCGUAGGCGGCUUGUCACGUCGGUUGUGAAAGCCCGGGGCUUAACCCCGGGUCUGCAGUCGAUACGGGCAGGCUAGAGUUCGGUAGGGGAGAUCGGAAUUCCUGGUGUAGCGGUGAAAUGCGCAGAUAUCAGGAGGAACACCGGUGGCGAAGGCGGAUCUCUGGGCCGAUACUGACGCUGAGGAGCGAAAGCGUGGGGAGCGAACAGGAUUAGAUACCCUGGUAGUCCACGCCGUAAACGGUGGGCACUAGGUGUGGGCGACAUUCCACGUCGUCCGUGU
Molecule: ribosomal RNA, 701 nt
Filed under: Streptomyces sp. AC116
Lineage: Bacteria; Bacillati; Actinomycetota; Actinomycetes; Kitasatosporales; Streptomycetaceae
Description: bacterial SSU rRNA
Rfam family: Bacterial small subunit ribosomal RNA
Source: RNAcentral